UAAUAUAUUUUAGGCAGAUCAUCAUUUAGUUAUGGUAGACUUACACAUGACUAAUAAGAAAAACUUCAUAAAAUUACAGUUCUUGUAUGAAAUGAUCGA
Molecule: microRNA precursor, 99 nt
Filed under: Populus trichocarpa (black cottonwood)
Lineage: Eukaryota; Viridiplantae; Streptophyta; Magnoliopsida; Malpighiales; Salicaceae
Description: MIR480 microRNA precursor family
Rfam family: MIR480 microRNA precursor family
Source: Rfam by way of RNAcentral